GAAACUGUGGGGGAAAGUAUGGCCAGCAUCAGCUGCUGCCUUGCUAAUGGAUAGCCAGAAAGGGCUGUGUGGGCUCUCAGUUCAGGCUUGGAUUCUGGAGGCUAGGGUCAGCAUGCUUUCCUUCCUCCCUGGCUGGACUUGACCU
This is a non-coding RNA of Canis lupus familiaris (dog), 145 nucleotides long. NCBI's taxonomy places the organism in Eukaryota, Metazoa, Chordata, Mammalia, Carnivora, Canidae. The record is from RefSeq and is marked provisional.